UAGUUCAAAGAACUUUUGGGGUUCUGUAUAAAGGAAUAGGGAAAUAAGACCUCAUCUCCCCAGGAGCUUCUGCCAGAGGAAAAGAAUCCAACAGCAGAUAGAAAAGGGUUAACAAGUGUCCCUUCUAUCUGCCCUUCCUUCAGGUAUGGGAAAGAUGAAAGAACAGUAAAGAGGGAGCCUGUGUGUGUGCAGAUGCAGGACUCCUCCUGAAGACCAUUUCCCUUGAUGGAUAUUUUGCAGAAGUUUGGAGACCCGGGACAAGUCCCCUAGUCCAGCACUGUGCUCCCCCACUGCUGGAGGUCCUCACUUCUACCCCAGGCCCUGUCUCUGCUUCCUGGAUGUUCACACAGUAAGAAGACAAAACAGUCACCAUCCUGUGCCAGAACUGGAUGUGCUGAGAAGAGGCCCUACCAGUGGGAGGGUCCAGUCCUCGAAGUGUUGGGGAUGAAACCCGUUCUCUCCUUGUCUGGGAGGCCAGGGUGUGGCUGGAGACCUGGAUGCCAGAGCGCCACAUCCUAGGCUGCCCGGUGCCCCACAUGGCCCUUGCUCCAGGGCCAUUUGUUCAUCCAGUGAAUCCUUCUGGAACUCUGUCAGCUGGGCCCACAGGCCUCCCCCAGAGCCCUAGGCAGUGACCCUGGCCAAGGAACAGUGCAAGUGUCAAGGGGGACAGAAACUGGGAGAAGAUUGUUUGUGCAGCCUGGGGACGAUGGAGGCCCCGGAGGAGCUGAGGCCUGAAGGGUGAGUAGGCUCAGGAAUCUAGGCCAUGACUGCUCUUGCGUGUGAUAGAAAUACCAUGUGACGCGUAGGAUCAUAAGCAUGGGCUGGUGUGCAUGAGGCUGAUGAGAGGCAGCCUCUUUGGAGACAUUUGAGUUCCUGAUGGGAUUCCACGCUGCCCAGCCCAGAGCUGUGUGUGUGUGCGCGUGUGUGACAUGCUGGGAGAAACAACGUAGCAUGAGCAUAAAGAGCCUAGAAAUCAGACUGCCUUGGUUCAAAUCUUGGCUCUGUCCCUUAAUGGCUGGGUGAUCUUGGGCAAGUUUCUUAUCCCCUCUCACCUCAGUUUUCCCACCUACAAAACAGCAUUCUGUCUCCCACGUUUGUGAUGGAGAUGACAAGACCUACUGCCUGUACUGUAGCAACCACCCACUCAGUGUUGAUGUUAACAGCAGGACGAUUGGACACAGGGCAUCCUCCCCAGCCUGGGGAAACUGCUCUGUGGCUGUGGAUUUAUUCUCCCCCUUUCUUCAUCAGGUUCUGCCCCUGGUCCCUGCUCUCUGGCCCCACUAUCCAGGGGAUGACAUCAGACUAUGGAGCGGCUGGGCAGACAAUGGAACAGAGUGUCCUAGAAGGCCAGAGGUGCUGGGGGAGGCAGAGGGUGGAAAAAGCCAAGCUGCCAUGCCCCAGAGGCCUCAGGGCUGGUCUAGAGACAGCCAGCACCAGAACAAGCCUCUGAAGAGGCAAA
Non-coding RNA from Odocoileus virginianus texanus, 1459 nucleotides. The record is from RefSeq and is a predicted model, not a curated record. Lineage: Eukaryota; Metazoa; Chordata; Mammalia; Artiodactyla; Cervidae.